CUGUCCUUCAGGAAACACCUACUCUGGAUGUUCGGCACUCCUGUCUUUGCCGGUAAACCAACAUACAAGCACACCCAGAGAGAGGAGAGUGGACAGGCGGUGAGGAACAGUCUAACUCAGCAGGGGUUCGUGAAGGCUUAUGAAGUGAAGGCAGAUCAGAGCUAGAAGUCUUAACCCUGUCCUUGAACUUUACCUACAUCAUCCCACCAAACACUCCAAUGCCCCAGGGAUCAGGCCUUUAUCUGUUUCCCAGGU
This is a long non-coding RNA of Zalophus californianus (California sea lion), 255 nucleotides long. RefSeq lists it as uncharacterized. NCBI's taxonomy places the organism in Eukaryota, Metazoa, Chordata, Mammalia, Carnivora, Otariidae. The transcript has 3 exons. The record is from RefSeq and is a predicted model, not a curated record.